GACGAACGCUGGCGGCGUGCUUAACACAUGCAAGUCGAACGGAAAGACCCUGCUUUUGUUGGGUUCUCGAGUGGCGAACGGGUGAGUAACACGUGUGUAACCUGCCCUUGUCUUUGGGAUAACUUCAGGAAACUGGGGCUAAUACCGGAUAGGAGCUCCUGCUGCAUGGUGGUGGUUGGAAAGUUUCGGCGGUUGGGGAUGGACUCGCGGCUUAUCAGCUUGUUGGUGGGGUAGUGGCUUACAAAGGGUUUGACGGGUAGCCGGCCUGAGAGGCUGACCGGCGACCAGGGGACUGCGAGACGGACCAGACUCCUACGGGAGGCAGCAGUGGGGAGUAUUGCACAAUGGGCGGAAGUCUGAUGCAGCAACGCCGCGUGCGGGAUGACGGCCUUCGGGUUGUAAACCGCUUUCGCCUGUGACGAAGCGUGAGUGACGGUAAUGGGUAAAGAAGCACCGGCUAACUACGUG
This 468-nucleotide ribosomal RNA is filed under the name uncultured bacterium. RNAcentral describes it as "partial 16S ribosomal RNA". It matches the Rfam family "Bacterial small subunit ribosomal RNA", at positions 28 to 507 of the family's 1533-position model. The record is from RNAcentral.